CCUACGGGUGGCAGCAGUGGGGAAUAUUGGACAAUGGGCGAAAGCCUGAUCCAGCCAUGCCGCGUGUGUGAAGAAGGCCUUCGGGUUGUAAAGCACUUUCAGUGGGGAAGAAAGCCUUUGGGCUAAUACCCUCGAGGAAGGACAUCACGCACAGAAGAAGCACCGGCUAACUCCGUGCCAGCAGCCGCGGUAAUACGGAGGGUGCGAGCGUUAAUCGGAAUUACUGGGCGAAAGCGCGCGUAGGCGGUCUGAUAAGCCGGUUGUGAAAGCCCCGGGCUCAACCUGGGAACGGCAUCCGGAACUGUCAGGCUAGAGUGCAGGAGAGGAAGGUAGAAUUCCAGGUGUAGCGGUGAAAUGCGUAGAGAUCGGGAGGAAUACCAGUGGCGAAGGCGGCCUUCUGGACUGACACUGACGCUGAGGUGCGAAAGCGUGGGUAGCAAACAGGAUUAGAUACCCCGGUAGUC
RNAcentral lists this ribosomal RNA (464 nucleotides) under Vreelandella stevensii. RNAcentral describes it as "partial 16S ribosomal RNA". It matches the Rfam family "Bacterial small subunit ribosomal RNA", at positions 338 to 795 of the family's 1533-position model. Lineage: Bacteria; Pseudomonadati; Pseudomonadota; Gammaproteobacteria; Oceanospirillales; Halomonadaceae. The record is from RNAcentral.